AACGAACGCUGGCGGCAUGCCUAACACAUGCAAGUCGAACGAGACCUUCGGGUCUAGUGGCGCACGGGUGCGUAACGCGUGGGAACCUGCCCUUAGGCUCGGAAUAACUCCCCGACAGGGGUGCUAAUACCGGAAAAUGUCUUCGGACCAAAGAUUUAUCGCCUUUGGAUGGGCCCGCGUUGGAUUAGCUAGUUGGUAGGGUAAAAGCCUACCAAGGCGACGAUCCAUAGCUGGUCUGAGAGGAUGAUCAGCCACACUGGGACUGAGACACGGCCCAGACUCCUACGGGAGGCAGCAGUGGGGAAUAUUGGACAAUGGGCGAAAGCAUGAUCCAGCUAUGCCGCGUGAGUGAUGAAGGCGUUAGGGUUGUAAAGCUCUUUUACCCGGGAUGAUAAUGACGGUACCGGGAGAAUAAGCACCGGCUAACUCCGUG
Molecule: ribosomal RNA, 433 nt
Filed under: uncultured bacterium
Lineage: Bacteria
Description: partial 16S ribosomal RNA
Rfam family: Bacterial small subunit ribosomal RNA
Source: RNAcentral